This 90-nucleotide small nuclear RNA is filed under the name Saimiri boliviensis boliviensis (Bolivian squirrel monkey). The record is from RNAcentral. Lineage: Eukaryota; Metazoa; Chordata; Mammalia; Primates; Cebidae.
GCUACCACUUCAGUAGCACAUAUACUAAAACUGGAAUAACACAGAGAAGAUUAGCAUGGCCCCUUUAAGAGAGAAAAAUUUUAAAUAUAU